UUUUGCAGCCGUUAUCAACCCUGUUCCCCCUCAUUUGUCUUGUGCAACUUCAUCUCUCCCAAAAUACUUCACACAGACUCAUAAUCCCUACCCCCACACCUUAUGAUCGACCUCUCCGACACCCCAUGCUCCGAUAACCACUCACAGCCUUCGUUCCCUCCCUUUUCGAUUUGAUUCUAGUCGAGACAUCUCCAAACACACACACACACACACACCAUCCUCCACCUCUGGUCGACGACCGACGACGAGCGCGAGCUCCGACGAGGAUCUUUGGUGCGACAUGAUCGAAGAGAGAAGCUGAGAGAGACGACGGCAGUGCCGCCAUCUGCGUCGGCGGAGACAGUCGCUCAGCCCCGAUUCGGCUCGAUUUUGGUUGGCUGUUUUGAGUUCCGGUUCGGGUCGAGUCUCUUUCAUCGGUGGUUCGGUCUCGGGUCAGCCAAUUCAGCUUCUGCUCGGGUUGCUUCGAUUCAAGUUUUGGUUCCGGUGGAACCGACAAUGGUGGCGGUGGAGGUAUUUAUCAGUUCAGUCCCGAUUCCGUUCAGGUUCGUUUGAGUGAUCAACGCAAGGCGAGUGUUUCCAUCACGGUCUGCUAAUUGUUCCUGCUCAUCUAUUGGGGAUAACUCCAACCGCUUCAAGUUUCCUAAUUCGUGCGCUUAAUUUUUACAAUGGAAUCGCAAUCGCAACCACUCAUACACUCGAGACUUCGGGGUUCCUUCCUCCUAAUCUCUUACGCUCGUCAACACUUGGAUAAUCGGAAGACUUAGCAAUUUUGAUAACUCCAACCGCUUCAAGUUUCCUAAUUCGUGCGCUUAAUUUUUACAAUGGAAUCGCAAUCGCAACCACUCAUACACUCGAGACUUCGGGGUUCCUUCCUCCUAAUCUCUUACGCUCGUCAACACUUGGAUAAUCGGAAGACUUAGCAAUUUUGUUGAUGAUGACGAUGCUAUGAAAAGAAGUAACGUUGAUGCCUAGAUACACAUAUAGACGUUUAGGUUUAAUAUGUUGUAUCAAUUUUGAUUAUGUUGUUACGUAUUUCCUUUGAACAUGUUGUUAUUUGAAUUUCCUUGUAUGUUUGAUAAUUUAUCUAUGAAAUGAAAUCGAUUUAUUAAAUA
This is a long non-coding RNA of Helianthus annuus (common sunflower), 1112 nucleotides long. RefSeq lists it as uncharacterized. The transcript has 4 exons. The record is from RefSeq and is a predicted model, not a curated record. Lineage: Eukaryota; Viridiplantae; Streptophyta; Magnoliopsida; Asterales; Asteraceae.